GGUAGCUCAGUUGGUUAGAGUGUGGUGCUGAUAAGGCCAGGGUUUGCAGGUUCGAUUCCCACAUGGGGCACCU
Non-coding RNA from Podarcis lilfordi (Lilford's wall lizard), 73 nucleotides. The record is from the annotation of a GenBank genome assembly. Lineage: Eukaryota; Metazoa; Chordata; Lepidosauria; Squamata; Lacertidae.